GGUUUAAUAUUCAAGUAUGAUUUUAAAUUGCAAGUUUAAAGGUGAAUUAAUUCUUAAACCU
Molecule: transfer RNA, 61 nt
Filed under: Stricticollis tobias
Lineage: Eukaryota; Metazoa; Arthropoda; Insecta; Coleoptera; Anthicidae
Description: tRNA-Cys
Source: RNAcentral